RNAcentral lists this ribosomal RNA (397 nucleotides) under uncultured bacterium. RNAcentral describes it as "partial 16S ribosomal RNA". It matches the Rfam family "Bacterial small subunit ribosomal RNA", at positions 523 to 918 of the family's 1533-position model. The record is from RNAcentral.
AUACGUAGGUGACAAGCGUUAUCCGGAUUUACUGGGCGUAAAGGGCGUGUAGGCGGUCUUGCAAGUCAGAAGUGAAAUUCCUGAGCUCAACUCGGGCGCUGCUUCUGAAACUGCAGGACUUGAGUGCUGGAGGGGAUAGCGGAAUUCCUAGUGGAGCGGUAAAAUGCGCAGAUAUUAGGAAGAACACCGGUGGCGAAGGCGGCUAUCUGGACAGUAACUGACGCUGAGGGGCGAAAGCGUGGGGAGCAAACAGGAUUAGAUCCCCUGGUAGUCCACGCUGUAAACGAUGAAUACUAGGUGUAGGGGGUAUCGACUCCCUCUGUGCCGCAGUUAACACAAUAAGUAUUCCGCCUGGGGGGUACGGCCGCAAGGUUGAAACUCAAAGGAAUUGACGGGG